This is a non-coding RNA of Dendroctonus ponderosae (mountain pine beetle), 83 nucleotides long. The record is from Rfam. NCBI's taxonomy places the organism in Eukaryota, Metazoa, Arthropoda, Insecta, Coleoptera, Curculionidae.
ACUUUACACGUGAUGACAGCAUAGUUCAGAUGAAAUUCUUUGAUUACAUCCUUAUUUUGUCUUUCGCUCCUAACUGAUUAUUG